Molecule: long non-coding RNA, 670 nt
Organism: Ictalurus punctatus (channel catfish)
Lineage: Eukaryota; Metazoa; Chordata; Actinopteri; Siluriformes; Ictaluridae
Exons: 2
Source: RefSeq, a predicted model, not a curated record
CUGGUGAGACGUGAGGAACCUGGAGAGGUGGAGGAGGAGAAGUGGAGGAGGAGGAGGAGGUGUGAUGAGCUGAAGGGAAGGACACAGGAUUAAUUCCGUAAACAGACAGGAGUAAACAGAGCUGACAGGAAAGGGCUGAGCGAUGGUGUUCCCCGUCAUGUGCAGUGACUCUCUGAGGUCUGCAGUGCAAAUGAAGAAUAUUCCACUUCUCUCUGAGCUGCUUGGAAUUGCUAAUCGGCAAGGAUUUAUUAUUUGUUGAACGUGUUACUGUGAGCUGUGUGAAGAAACAUUACAAUCAGCACGAGAGGAUCUCUGUGUUCACAAAUCUCAAAAUCUGCCCUUGAUGGAAAUGGACACGGAAUAUCCUGGAGCAGCUGGGAUGUGAAGAAAGCCGCAUCAAGAAAACCGUGAUUCUGAAUGGACCGCCUUGUAGCGAUUGGGUUGGGGUUGGGGUUGGGUGACCCAGGGUUAGGGUUAGACCAGUUUGGUGACGUUAUGGGGACAUGCAGCCAAAUAUUAAGUGUUAUUUACUUUAAUUGACUUCAAGACGUAUCUGUUCCUAUACUUUUGCUCACCUGAAAAUUGAGUGGUCUGAUACAAAAGGUUCUAUUUUAUGUUGUCUAGAUGUGUUCGGACCUUGUUUAAAAUUAAAUAUAUCGUGUGAUAUUAA